CCUACGGGUGGCAGCAGUAGGGAAUAUUGCACAAUGGGGGAAACCCUGAUGCAGCAACGCCGCGUGGGUGAAGAAGGAUUUCGUUUCGCAAACCUCUUUCGUCAGGGAAGAAAAUGACGGUAUCUAAGUAAGAAGCACCGGCUAACUACGUGCCAGCAGCCGCGGUAAUACGGAGGGGGCAAGCGUUACUCGGAUUUACUGGGCGUAAAGGGAGCGUAGACGGGGUGGCAAGUCAGAUGUGAAAUCCCGCAGCUUAACCAUGGAACUGCAUUGGAAACUGGUGUACUAGAGUGUGGGAGGGGUAGGUGGAAUUCCUGGUGUAGGGGUGAAAUCCGUAGAGAUUAAGAGGAAUACUGGUGGCGAAGGCGACUUGCUGGACCGUAACUGACGUUGAGGCGCGAAAGCGUGGGGAGCAAACAGGAUUAGAUACCCCGGUAGUC
RNAcentral lists this ribosomal RNA (440 nucleotides) under uncultured bacterium. Its description in RNAcentral is "partial 16S ribosomal RNA". It matches the Rfam family "Bacterial small subunit ribosomal RNA", at positions 338 to 795 of the family's 1533-position model. The record is from RNAcentral.